This 22-nucleotide small nuclear RNA is filed under the name Arabidopsis thaliana (thale cress). RNAcentral describes it as "snRNA_13576". The record is from RNAcentral. Lineage: Eukaryota; Viridiplantae; Streptophyta; Magnoliopsida; Brassicales; Brassicaceae.
UGUAGGCAAGCACGAGAAUGUC